AAGCUUGUUGAAGGUCAUUCUCCUCCGGUGAACUUCGAGGUCAAUGGGCGGCACUACAACAAGGGGUACUAUCUAGCUGAUGGCAUCUAUCCGAGAUGGUCGACAUUUGUGAAGACCAUCUCAAACCCUGUGCCAGGAGGAAAGAACGCCUGGUUUGCGAAGAUUCAGGAGGCGUGCAGGAAGGAUGUCGAGCGGGCAUUUGGUGUGCUCCAAUCUCAAUUUGCUGUUGUCCGGUACCCCGCUCAGACGUGGUCCAAAGAUCAAAUGUGGGAGAUUAUGACUUGCUGUGUCAUCUUGCACAACAUGAUUAUCGAGAGCGAGCAAGAAGACCCAGUGUUUGACACUGAACCAUACUACAGGUAG
Molecule: ribosomal RNA, 363 nt
Filed under: Triticum aestivum (bread wheat)
Lineage: Eukaryota; Viridiplantae; Streptophyta; Magnoliopsida; Poales; Poaceae
Description: partial small subunit ribosomal RNA
Source: RNAcentral